This is a long non-coding RNA of Alosa sapidissima (American shad), 2823 nucleotides long. RefSeq lists it as uncharacterized. The transcript is spliced from 3 exons. The record is from RefSeq and is a predicted model, not a curated record. Lineage: Eukaryota; Metazoa; Chordata; Actinopteri; Clupeiformes; Clupeidae.
GUGUAUGUGCUGGAUGGUGUGCUUCCUUUAUGCAAGUCUGUGGACAGAGGGCUGAUGCAUCAUGUUGAAAGCACAAACAACCGUCCUGGGGGCUGGGGGGUUGAGGCUGAUUCCGGGAAAUAACGGCCCUGUAUACCAUUGUGGGUAAGAAACCUCUGCGGUCCAGCCGUACUGCUGAAGGCGUGGGAGUGAUGCACAGCAUCCAGCGCCCUGAGAAACAAACAAGAGAACAGGGUGGAAGACAUGGACUGAGAGAGCUGCAUCUAAAGCUGAGCUACACCAGACCCUCCGCCUCUACAAAGACAAUUGGUACUUUUCUAGCCAAGGACCUAGAAAACCUCAAUUUGAGACCACCUCGACUUUGAUGUUUUGUUUACUAAUAAAGCAACCCCUCCAAGGUUUGAAAGUUACUGAUGUCUGUGACUGCCUCAUGGUGAUGGAGAACGAAGGCAGAAUGGAGAUGAUACCUUCAACCCCCUCAGAGUCAAAUCCUCCAGCAACUUCUACAAGCCUCUCUGUAGAAUCACCAGAACAACCAGCUCUUGGUGCUCCAGCUCAGCAACUCCUCCAGCCUGCACCAGACCCUAACCGUGAUCGAGAGAGGUCAGUCCACCUGCAUCUUCUGAAAACUGACCAAGGCCGAUGUUGAAUUCUAUCUGGGCACCUUUGAAUGUGUGGCUAUGUGAGAGAAGUGGCCGAAAUCAGAGUGGACGCACAUCCUGGCCUCCUACCUCACCAGGCCCAUUGAGCCUACCACACCCUGCCCUGGGCCACUGCCUGUGAUUACCAAGCCCUUAAGUUGGAGAUCCUCACCCGGCUGGGGGUGACACCAAGACAGUUGUCCAGCAAUAUCCCUACUGUGUAUACCACCCAGAGGUACCGGUCCAGAUCCAACUAACCCAGCUCAUUCAAUUGACCCAACGAUGGCUACAUCCAGAGCGCCAUACAGCCAAAGAGGUGGUUGAACAUGUGACUAUGGAUCAAUGCCUGAGAGCCCUCCUCAGAGCUGUUUCCACCAACUGCACCAACUGGUCCCAUUGCUCUUUCUUUGAAAUUUUCAGUCAGGUCUGCUUCGGCCAGGACCAGAAGCAGGAUGAGAGGCUGAAGAACUGCUGGGGCCAAGUAGCAGCGAUAAAAGGGAAAACACAAGUAUGAGGACGACUCCCCACCCAAUACUUCCAGAUCCAGAACAGUCUUCUUUACUACACCACCGAGAGACGGGGAGAGCAGCGAGAUCUGGUAGCCCCUCGGGGUCAUUUAGACUCCAUACUUGAGCUAUACCACACACAUUCCCUGGCAGAUCAUUUCAGAGGCAGGAACACAGAGGAGCGGAUCCAGCACCAACCCCACUGGCCUGUGACAACCUCAAUAUCUAAACCUCAACACCACACCAGGUCCUUGCAGCCAGGGGGAGGUGCUACCUUGCCAACCUCAUGGCCUGGGGAUGGGCCACAGGGCAGAGGGACCUUGUCACAGCGACCAUAAAAUUGAUGUAUUGUGCUUUCUUUUGUAGAUGUGGACUGAGAGAGCUGCAACGAACGCUGAGCUACCUGACCCUGCGUCUCUACAAACAAGAUUAGACUUUUCUUUUGCUUUUUAGCACUAGAAUUGGGUUUUCUAGGCAAGGACCUAGAAAACGUCAAGUAGAGAGCACCUCAACUGUUGUGUUUUGUUUACUAAUAGAGCAACCCCUGUGGGUUUUGAACAUCACUGGUGUCUGUGACUCUCUCAUUCCACCACAACAUGUAUUUAAGGUGUACAGACAGAGACUUUACUGACCACUUAUGUUUAGAUUUAGCUAUUGCCAAUGUCACAUUCAUUAGAACUCCAAAUGUCUGGGACGCAUCAGAACGCAUCAGUGUUUACACUACAAAACAUGUGAUCUAAUGCUUCUCAGACCACCUCUGUAUGUGCUGGUGAAGCGUGAGCACCUGAAGCAAGUAACACUGCCGAUCACUGCACUCAGCAGAUUGUGACACUGAUCAUGCCCUUUUACCUUGCAAAUUAAGGAUGGCCCCAAGCAAGUUUCAUUACGCCAGGCCCAAGCAAACUAGUAGUCAAAAACUACUAUUUGUUUUUCACUGUCAACAUACUCUUAAAUAUGCAUGUGCUCAAUUGACAGAAAUGUAGGUAUUAUAUUCACAUUAGAAAAUACACAUUUCAUUACCAAGCAUAUUAAAAGGAGCUGUGUGUGUGUGUGUAUGCAUGAUAUAAGUAGGGUGACCACCGACCAGACUCUAAAAAGGAAGACACAGAGAGCGUGGGCAUUGUACAGGGAUGUCUUUGAGAAAUGCUCCCCUUGUUAAUUUGGGAAAUGGCAGGGCAUUCGUUAAUUGAGGCCAAAGUCCUUAGAGACUUUGGCCUUAAUGGUUGACCAGCAAGAGUUUUGCUGGUCAACCAUCAUAGGGUAGUCAAACAAGCUGGUCAACAAGCAAACCACCUCUAGCUGGUCAGGCUGUUUUUUUCAGCAGGGUUGUGUCUAAAAUUGUGGAGAAAUGGACAAAAAUGAGGACACGCCCAAAAUAUUGCUUAUAGGCCUAUUCCUGUUGCUAUUUUUACACACAAUUUACAACAUUAAACAGUUUAUUAUUUGCAUUAUGUAAUGUUUUCAUUUUUAUCUAGGCCUAGUUUAUACCAAUAUUAAUGAGACAUUUCAUUAUAAUUGAUUGCUAUUUUCUAGCAAGGUGUGUGUGUCUGCAGCCCACUAUAGCCUACCAGUGGUCUUGUUCACCAAUACGUUCGGAAAGCAGAGACAGUGUAGUCUAUGUGCAACCUCAGAGAACAUGUCGGUUUUUUUUUUUACAUUGUUAGUUAUCUGGUACC